This 253-nucleotide ribosomal RNA is filed under the name uncultured bacterium. Its description in RNAcentral is "partial 16S ribosomal RNA". It matches the Rfam family "Bacterial small subunit ribosomal RNA", at positions 524 to 776 of the family's 1533-position model. The record is from RNAcentral.
UACGUAGGUGGCAAGCGUUGUCCGGAUUUACGGGGCGUAAAGAGCGCGCAGGCGGUCGUGCAAGUCGCGUGUGAAAGCCCCCGGCUCAACUGGGGAGGGUCACGCGAUACUGCUCGACUCGAAGGCAGGAGAGGGAAGUGGAAUUCCCGGUGUAGUGGUGAAAUGCGUAGAUAUCGGGAGGAACACCAGUGGCGAAGGCGACUUCCUGGCCUGUUCUUGACGCUGAGGCACGAAAGCUAGGGGAGCAAACAGG